Molecule: long non-coding RNA, 1571 nt
Filed under: Sus scrofa (pig)
Lineage: Eukaryota; Metazoa; Chordata; Mammalia; Artiodactyla; Suidae
Description: lncRNA (ENSSSCG00035046658.1, ENSSSCG00055015575.1, ENSSSCG00065051851.1)
Source: RNAcentral
CAUGUUUAAGUUCUUUUAAAAAACAUUACUUUUAUGAUAGGAUAUGAAUUAUGUUUUCUUCCAGCAGUAAAUAUCUAAACAUAAAUCUGUCUUCAUUUGUGGUUAUAGAAUUCAGCUAUUAGUAACAUAUAAAACCAGCAUUCAGAUACAUUCCUAAUUAUGUUUGAAUUAUGUUGAAUAAUUUUAUAUCAUCAGACUUUGGUAAUGAAUAAUGCACCCAUGAUUCAGGAACAAUGUUAGCAUUUUAAACUUAAAUUUAUUUUUAUUUCUGUGAAAAUAGAAAAAUAAAUAAAAAUAUCUAUUAAAACUCUUCUACAUGUAAGAAAAUGAUAUAGGAAUCAUUAAACCUACUUUUCAUUUAUGAUUACUUAACAGUGAUCAUUUUAAUUUUGAAGGGCUGCAUAAGAAUGGAUUUAAGACAUAUGUUAACUCCAACAAUUUAUAUGUUUUAUCAAUCUAUGCAAUUAAAAAGUUUGCUGAAAGAGGCUUUCAAUGUAAAGUUUUAUUCUGAGAUGAACAUUUCUAACUAAUGUCAAACUACUCAUAACCUCCUAAAAAACUCAGAGAAUAUGACUUUGGCGGUGUAAUUGAGUGCUUCCAUAAUAAAACCCAGGUAAUUGAAAAAUCAAAUUUCUGUGGUGUGCUGACAGUAAAAGUAGAUUCUAACAACCAUUGAAAAAUUAGUGCCUAUGAAUUAAAAUUUAAGAUUAAACUUUAGCUGUUUUAGAUAUGACCUUUAAAAGAUGUUAAGUGGUGUUAAAUGGUGUUAAAUGUUCUGGGAUCAUUGUUAUGUGUUACUAAGUAGCAACACUAUUUUCAAGCAAUUCCUAGAUUAUAGGAGUUAAUUUGAUAAAACCACCAUUUUUUUUCUCAUUUUAUGAACAUCGUUAAAUGUAUCAAUUAUUUUAAUGCAAAUAGAGAAAAUGACUCAUGGAAUCUUUUGAAAAGAACAUUUUACCUAUUAUCAGUCAAAUUCUUCUUGCUCUUCUAAAUCUCCAUAAAUAAAUCACCAAGGCAUCAAUAUCAUAUCAGAUCUAGUAUACUAUAUUAGAAAACCUUUCAUUCAUCUUUGUAUGAUAUCAUCAUGUCUGUUGGAAUGUGAAAUGGAGACAGAUUUUAAGUUUAAGAAACCUAAAUUUUGAUCACAUUCCUAUAUCAUCCGUUUGAUAUUUUUAAUAUUCAAAUUUAUUCUUUCUUUUUAGCAGAGGUAUUUCAUUUCCACCUUUUCUCAACUUUUUAGUUAUAAAUUUAUAUGAGAUAUACUUAUCAGAUAAGAUUAAAAGAGUAUUCAAAGCCUAUGUGUAAAAAGGAAAUGUUUGAAUAAAUGAUAGAUAGACAGAUAGAUAGAUAGAUAGAUAGAUAGAUAGAUAGAUAGAUAAAUCUGAUGUUAUUAGGAGUCUUCUAUAUUUCCUGAGAGCUUAAAAGAAUGCUUUAGAAACCAAAUUUCACGUAUGUGGAGUGAUUAUAUCACAAAUUAUCCUACAUACAAUUUGACAUCACACAUUAUACAUUCAAAGUCCUAAAUUUUCUUUUAAUUAUAUACUAUCUUCCUCUUAUCUUCCAUCUUUCUC